Molecule: ribosomal RNA, 468 nt
Filed under: uncultured bacterium
Lineage: Bacteria
Description: partial 16S ribosomal RNA
Rfam family: Bacterial small subunit ribosomal RNA
Source: RNAcentral
GACGAACGCUGGCGGCGUGCUUAACACAUGCAAGUCGAACGGAAAGGCCCUGCAUUUGUGGGGUGCUCGAGUGGCGAACGGGUGAGUAACACGUGAGUAACCUGCCCUUGACUUUGGGAUAACUUCAGGAAACUGGGGCUAAUACCGGAUAGGAGCUCCUGCUGCAUGGUGGGGGUUGGAAAGUUUCGGCGGUUGGGGAUGGACUCGCGGCUUAUCAGCUUGUUGGUGGGGUAGUGGCUUACCAAGGCUUUGACGGGUAGCCGGCCUGAGAGGGUGACCGGCCACAAUGGGACUGAGAGACGGCCCAGACUCCUACGGGAGGCAGAAGUGGGGAAUAUUGCACAGUGGGCGGAAGCCUGAUGCAGCAACGCCGCGGGCGGGAUGACGGCCUUCGGGUUGUAAACCGCUUUCGCCUGUGACGAAGCGUGAGUGACGGUAAUGGGUAAAGAAGCACCGGCUAACUACGUG